GGCCCACGUCUUUCCGGCCCAUACCUUUCCGGCCCGCUUUUUUUUUGGGCCGUAAGUGUUGUUAUUUUCCGGCCCAUUUGAGUGAUGUUCCGGCCCAAACUAAAAAUAUUUUCAAAAAUAGAAAAAUUUUUAUAAGUGAUAGAUUAGUGGCGCUGCCAGUUACUUUUUUAAAACUCUUGAAUAGUAUUCUUGGCAACGCUGACAAAAGUGAGUGACAGACACCGUGGCGCUGCCAGUUACUUUUUAGCAGACAAAUUUUCACCCAUAGCACAUGUCGGCAACCUAUCGUAAAGAUGUCAUGUGUGACUUGUAAUAUUGCAUUUAGUGGACGUACCCCACAAAUAAUUAAGUGUGUUGAAUGCUUUGGCCAUGUACAUCGUUCAUGUUUGCCUGGAAAAGGUAUAACAUCAACCGAUUAUGUGAGAAUGAAAAAGUAUGGUGAAUCAUUUGAAUUUAAGUGCGUAAACUGCAGUUCUAAUACGCCUGGUGAUAGUCAUACAAGAAAUUCUUCU
This is a long non-coding RNA of Daphnia pulex (common water flea), 512 nucleotides long. RefSeq lists it as uncharacterized. NCBI's taxonomy places the organism in Eukaryota, Metazoa, Arthropoda, Branchiopoda, Diplostraca, Daphniidae. The record is from RefSeq and is a predicted model, not a curated record. The transcript has 3 exons.